RNAcentral lists this ribosomal RNA (523 nucleotides) under uncultured bacterium. Its description in RNAcentral is "bacterial SSU rRNA". It matches the Rfam family "Bacterial small subunit ribosomal RNA", at positions 396 to 916 of the family's 1533-position model. The record is from RNAcentral.
GCCGCGUGAGGGAUGACGGCCUUCGGGUUGUAAACCUCUUUCAGUAUCGGCGAAGGUCCGGGGUUUUCCCCGGAUUGACGGUAGGUACAGAAGAAGCACCGGCCAACUACGUGCCAGCAGCCGCGGUAAUACGUAGGGUGCGAGCGUUGUCCGGAAUUACUGGGCGUAAAGAGCUCGUAGGUGGUCUGUCGCGUUGUCCGUGAAAACUCACAGCUCAACUGUGGGCGUGCGGGCGAUACGGGCAGACUAGAGUACUGUAGGGGAGACUGGAAUUCCUGGUGUAGCGGUGGAAUGCGCAGAUAUCAGGAGGAACACCAGUGGCGAAGGCGGCCUUCUGGACCAGUACUGACGCUCAUGCACGAAAGCGUGGGGAGCAAACAGGAUUAGAUACCCUGGUAGUCCACGCCCUAAACGAUGCGAACUGGAUGUUGGGUACAUUACGGUACUCAGUGUCGAAGCUAACGCGUUAAGUUCGCCGCCUGGGGAGUACGGUCGCAAGACUGAAACUCAAAGGAAUUGACGG